GGGUCCGGACACACUGAGGAUUGACAGGCAAUAUUAAUACGUGUUUCGGCACGUAUUAUGUUAAAUAUGCUAGUCCUUUCAUGAUUAUGUGAUAGGUGGUGCAUGGCCGUUCUUAGUUCGUGGAGUGAUCUGUCUGCUUAAUUGCGUUUCACUAAGAAUCUAUCAAUACGUGCGUUGCGGCACUUUGACCCCUCUCUGAGCGCGCGUCUUAGUUGCUUAGCUCGCACAAUUAGGUUCUGAAAGCAACGAACGUGACCGCAACCUCUUGUUGCCUUUAUACCAAACAUUUUUGCUGUUCUCAGCAUUAAUGCAAAAAGGCUUUUUAAACUAGAGGGACCGCUGUUACUUUCUUAAACCAGAGGAAGGUUGCGGCAAUAACAGGUCUGUGAUGCCCUUAGAUGUUCCGGGCUGCACACGUGCUACAAUGAUUGUUGCAGUGAGCAUCUCAUUUUUACACACCGCAUGCGCGAGUCCGUUUAUUCACUUCGGUGUUUUAAACGUGUAUUUCUGCGCGCGGUAAAGCCUGCUUCGAGAGUAAGUGGGU
This 544-nucleotide ribosomal RNA is filed under the name Oridorsalis umbonatus. RNAcentral's name for it is "SSU rRNA". It matches the Rfam family "Eukaryotic small subunit ribosomal RNA", at positions 1220 to 1547 of the family's 1831-position model. Lineage: Eukaryota; Foraminifera; Rotaliida; Alabaminidae. The record is from RNAcentral.